GAUUUGAAUUAGAACUCAAAUUCUGGGAUCACAGAGAUGUCGCAUUUUCUGCUUCGCAGGUCCAGCCUCAGCGAAUAAGUAUUUUUUCUUUUGCUUUUCCUUUCAUUUUCGACCUUUCAACCCUGUAAGCACUAAGAGGGCCUUUUAAACCUUACCCACAAUAGGUUUGGCCAAGACUGCAAUGGGAGCGGGCGGACGGGCGUAUCGGGACAGACCACUACUAAAAAGUUCUGGAGUUGCCUAUCCGGAUUCGAUUUUGGGUGUCCUCUUAAUGUCUCAGCCAUCUGGCCAUCGACAAAUAAUAAGUGGUGCAUCUGUGGGGUUUAAAUAGAGUACACGUGACGAGUCUUAAAUAUUCAGAGAAGGAAAGAAGAAGAAGUCUUAAAUAUAUAUAAACUUUUCUGAAAAAGAAAUCUUUUUCAUAAAACACAAAAAUGGCACAAGGUGGGUUAAAGGUUAAAACGAAGUUACCAGAUAGUAUCAAGAAGAAGAAUAACAACAGAAAAAUGAAAACAAAUCAGAAAAAAGUUUUCAAAAAGACAAAGGUAACUUCAGAGAAAAAGAGAAUACAAAAGGCAUUGGAGAAAACAAUUCGUGCAAAUAUUGAGAACGAAAUCAGGUGUAGAGCAAGUGGAGUUGGAACAAGUUCUUUUAAUUCUAAGAAUAAAAACUAAUAUUAAAACACUUGUAUAUUUUUAUUCUCUUUAAAUUAUCACAAUCUUUAUUAAUUGCAAUAAAUGUUCUGUUUCUUCUUUGAAGAAAUUUUUAAUACACUAAAAACCUCAAUAUAAUAAACUAAUUUGGGCGAAGGGGUUUGUGCUUUAUUAAAGCUGAAAGUCUUUCUUAUAAUAAAUUAGGUUUUCCAAAUGUUCCGAAACUGAAACAAACAAAUAUACAAUAUAAAUCUAAAUAAAUAAAUGCUUUUUGAAAAAUACAUUUUAUGGGCAGUGACUUUUAGAUUUGAAAAAAAUUACCUGUUAAUUUAAUUACAUAUAAAACACACUGCAUGACGAUGAUUAUGAUGCAGUUACUUUCAAUAAAGUGAAGUCACCAACAAGAUGAACUGUUCCAAAUUAUGAGGCAAAUUUGUAAAGAUAGAAAGUCCAGAAAAUACUUAAAAAGCAUUUAAAGUUUAGAUUGACUUAUAAUACCUUUACAUCAUAUAUCUGUUUAUUUUUCAACAUAGUAAUCAUGAACCUCAAUAUACUUAAUGAGUCUGAAUAUCAGUACAAGUCGACCCUCCUACAACACUGUUGGUAAUUCCGUGUUAUACGAAUUC
Long non-coding RNA from Centruroides sculpturatus (bark scorpion), 1279 nucleotides. RefSeq lists it as uncharacterized. The transcript has 5 exons. The record is from RefSeq and is a predicted model, not a curated record. NCBI's taxonomy places the organism in Eukaryota, Metazoa, Arthropoda, Arachnida, Scorpiones, Buthidae.